UACGUAGGGGGCGAGCGUUGUCCGGAAUCAUUGGGCGUAAAGCGCGUGUAGGCGGCCCGGUAAGUCCGCUGUGAAAGUCCAGGGCUCAACCCUGGGAUGCCGGUGGAUACUGUCGGGCUCGAGUCCGGAAGAGGCGAGUGGAAUUCCUGGUGUAGCGGUGAAAUGCGCAGAUAUCAGGAGGAACACCAAUGGCGAAGGCAG
Molecule: ribosomal RNA, 201 nt
Filed under: uncultured bacterium
Lineage: Bacteria
Description: partial 16S ribosomal RNA
Rfam family: Bacterial small subunit ribosomal RNA
Source: RNAcentral